RNAcentral lists this transfer RNA (87 nucleotides) under bacterium. Its description in RNAcentral is "tRNA-Ser". It matches the Rfam family "tRNA". Rfam says of the family: Transfer RNA (tRNA) molecules are approximately 80 nucleotides in length. Their secondary structure includes four short double-helical elements and three loops (D, anti-codon, and T loops). Further hydrogen bonds mediate the characteristic L-shaped molecular structure. tRNAs have two regions of fundamental functional importance: the anti-codon, which is responsible for specific mRNA codon recognition, and the 3' end, to which the tRNAs corresponding amino acid is attached (by aminoacyl-tRNA synthetases). tRNAs cope with the degeneracy of the genetic code in two manners: having more than one tRNA (with a specific anti-codon) for a particular amino acid; and 'wobble' base-pairing, i.e. permitting non-standard base-pairing at the 3rd anti-codon position. The record is from RNAcentral.
GGAGAUGUGCCAGAGAGGUUGAAUGGAGCUGACUCGAAAUCAGCCAUACGGGAAACCGUAUCGGAGGUUCGAAUCCUCCCAUCUCCG